This is a long non-coding RNA of Melanotaenia boesemani (Boeseman's rainbowfish), 89 nucleotides long. RefSeq lists it as uncharacterized. NCBI's taxonomy places the organism in Eukaryota, Metazoa, Chordata, Actinopteri, Atheriniformes, Melanotaeniidae. The transcript has 3 exons. The record is from RefSeq and is a predicted model, not a curated record.
CUCUGCAUUCUUUAUCCUGUUUAAUAAAACUCCAUCACUCAUCCCUGGGUUUCUGAUAAUCUAUGAGUCCAAUCUCCUGGUACGUGACA